AGUAAUGUAUGGGGAUUUGCCCGAUAGAGGGGGAUAACUACUGGAAACGGUGGCUAAUACCGCAUAAUGUCUACGGACCAAAGCAGGGGCUCUUCGGACCUUGCACUAUCGGAUGAACCCAUAUGGGAUUAGCUAGUAGGUGGGGUAAAGGCUCACCUAGGCGACGAUCUCUAGCUGGUCUGAGAGGAUGAUCAGCCACACUGGGACUGAGACACGGCCCAG
RNAcentral lists this ribosomal RNA (222 nucleotides) under uncultured bacterium. RNAcentral's name for it is "partial 16S ribosomal RNA". It matches the Rfam family "Bacterial small subunit ribosomal RNA", at positions 109 to 334 of the family's 1533-position model. The record is from RNAcentral.